This 484-nucleotide long non-coding RNA is filed under the name Brachypodium distachyon (stiff brome). RNAcentral describes it as "long non-coding RNA (BDIS_LNC002088)". Lineage: Eukaryota; Viridiplantae; Streptophyta; Magnoliopsida; Poales; Poaceae. The record is from RNAcentral.
CUGGUGUUCUCUCGCUGGAAUCAAUGGCUCCGGCCAUUAAUGGUGGUGAAGGGGUGGAGGCGGUGAUUGGGGAAGAUUGAGGAGGAAAAAAGGAAAGGGAGAUCCGUGGGGUUCGGUUCAGAGAACCUAGACAGAGGACGGUAUAGGAAGGUGCGGGCAGUGGCGAAGAUUUCGGCGGGCAGAGCGUUCCGGGUCCUAGCGUUCUACUUCUGUGCUCAUGCUAGAGGAGGAAGACGAGCAUUAGUGGGGCUAGGCUGGAGAGCUCGGGGCAGAGAUGGGCCACAGAGAGAGAGACAGAGAGGCAGUCCGGCCCGAAGAAAGAAAAACAAAAACAAAAAGCAGACAAGGGGGUUGAGUUGGCUAAACUUUUUCUAUUUUCGAAAAUUUUAAACUUCUAAACCAUGGCCCUCUUGUCAUAGAAUCCCGUUCCGUCUUAUAAUCUUGUAAAAUACGGUGUUGUAUUUUAUUGUUCAUAGCAACGCAC